Molecule: ribosomal RNA, 433 nt
Filed under: uncultured bacterium
Lineage: Bacteria
Description: partial 16S ribosomal RNA
Rfam family: Bacterial small subunit ribosomal RNA
Source: RNAcentral
AGCGAACGCUGGCGGCAUGCCUAACACAUGCCAGUCGAACGAGACCUUCGGGUCUAGUGGCGCACGGGUGCGUAACGCGUGGGAACCUGCCCUUAGGUUCGGAAUAACUCCCCGAAAGGGGUGCUAAUACCGGAUAAUGUCUUCGGACCAAAGAUUUAUCGCCUUUGGAUGGGCCCGCGUUGGAUUAGCUAGUUGGUAGGGUAAAAGCCUACCACGGCGACGAUCCAUAGCUGGUCUGAGAGGAUGAUCAGCCACACUGGGGCUGAGACACGGCCCAGACUCCUACGGGAGGCAGCAGUGGGGAAUAUUGGACAAUGGGCGAAAGCCUGAUCCAGCAAUGCCGCGUGAGUGAUGAAGGCCUUAGGGUUGUAAAGCUCUUUUACCCGGGAUGAUAAUGACAGUACCGGGAGAAUAAGCUCCGGCUAACUCCGUG